RNAcentral lists this long non-coding RNA (593 nucleotides) under Equus asinus (donkey). Its description in RNAcentral is "lncRNA (ENSEASG00005026980.1)". Lineage: Eukaryota; Metazoa; Chordata; Mammalia; Perissodactyla; Equidae. The record is from RNAcentral.
AUUGGGGGCAUAGCAUGUCCUGUGUCCUUCGUGGUGUGCUCCUGAAAACCAGGCAUAAAUCAGAUCCUUGGAAAGCAAACCAUGUUUACCUGAUAGGAAGAAUGUUGCAAUUGAAGCUUGCUUUGCUGAUCCAGCAUUCGGCAUUAAAUUAAUCCUUUGUACCUUUCUCCCCCCAAGCUAUGCCAGCUGCAGGGAAGCGAGACCUCUGGGGCUGACUCCAGCCCUCCCCUACUGUCACCUGCUCUCAGCACCCCUGGAGGAAAGGGUAAUCCCCUCCUCCUUGUGAGGAGGCUCCUGAAGAGCCACACUGAGAGGGCUUCCCUGUGCCACCUCCUUGCCCCACUGUAGAACACGUGCAGAAGGUGUCCAGAGGAGGAAGCUGAAGCGCAGGAGGGUGAGGAUGACCUGAAUUUGCACCACUAAUAAUUGGACCUGUCCAGCCGACGCGGAGCCAGGUGACUCCCCACCCUUCCACUGUCGUCAGACCAUACGAGGAGCAUGGACAGACGAGGAGGCUCCGGGCUCUGCUGCCCACGCCGGGCUGGGCAUGGACUCCGGAAGGGUCUACUCACAGACGCUUUCCCUGAUAACCU